GAUGAACGCUAGCUACAGGCUUAACACAUGCAAGUCGAGGGGCAGCAUGAUUGAAGCUUGCUUCAAUCGAUGGCGACCGGCGCACGGGUGAGUAACACGUAUCCAACCUGCCGAUAACUCGGGGAUAGCCUUUCGAAAGAAAGAUUAAUACCCGAUAGUAUAGUAUUUCCGCAUGGUUUCACUAUUAAAGAACUUCGGUUAUCGAUGGGGAUGCGUUCCAUUAGAUAGUUGGCGGGGUAACGGCCCACCAAGUCAACGAUGGAUAGGGGUUCUGAGAGGAAGGUCCCCCACAUUGGAACUGAGACACGGUCCAAACUCCUACGGGAGGCAGCAGUGAGGAAUAUUGGUCAAUGGACGAGAGUCUGAACCAGCCAAGUAGCGUGAAGGAUGACUGCCCUAUGGGUUGUAAACUUCUUUUAUACGGGAAUAAAGUGGAGUAUGCAUACUCCUUGGUAUGUACCGUAUGAAUAAGGAUCGGCUAACUCCGG
This 488-nucleotide ribosomal RNA is filed under the name uncultured bacterium. RNAcentral describes it as "partial 16S ribosomal RNA". It matches the Rfam family "Bacterial small subunit ribosomal RNA", at positions 28 to 506 of the family's 1533-position model. The record is from RNAcentral.